GAGUGGCGAACGGCUGAGUAACACGUGGAGAACCUGCCCCCUCCCCCCGGGACUAGCCGCCCGAAAGGACGGGUAAUACCGGAUACCCCCGGGCGCCGCAUGGCGCCCGGGCCUAAAGCCCCGACCGGGAGGGGGAUGGCUCCGCGGCCCCAUCAGGUAGACGGCGGGGUGACGGCCCACCGUGCCGACAACGGGUAGCCGGGUUGAGAGACCGACCGGCCAGAUUGGGACUGAGACACGGCCCAGACUCCUACGGGAGGCAGCAUG
This 267-nucleotide ribosomal RNA is filed under the name uncultured bacterium. RNAcentral describes it as "partial 16S ribosomal RNA". It matches the Rfam family "Bacterial small subunit ribosomal RNA", at positions 93 to 353 of the family's 1533-position model. The record is from RNAcentral.